Haliaeetus leucocephalus (bald eagle) is the source of this 5379-nucleotide long non-coding RNA. RefSeq lists it as uncharacterized. The record is from RefSeq and is a predicted model, not a curated record. Lineage: Eukaryota; Metazoa; Chordata; Aves; Accipitriformes; Accipitridae. The transcript has 5 exons.
AGCUGGAGCUUUGCUUGCCCUCCCAGGGGCCGUGAUGCCUGGCUGGAGGAGGGAGGAGGUGGUGUGGAUGCUGCCCAUCCAAAGCCACCUCGGUGUAACGGUUCCUGAAACAUAGCUCUUCCCUUGGGCCCUGGUGCUCCCCUCACUUCUGUUUUUAGUGGAGGUACCCCAAAACCUGGCAAUAGAAGUAUUUUCUCAGCUGAGGGUGUGUGUUUCUGGCAACGGGCUGAAUCCGAGCAAACCUGUGUCAGAAGCAAUGCUGCAGAAGGGAGCACCACCAGGCUCUGCGCAGGACCUGGCCCUUCCUCGAGGCAGAGUAGGCGAAGGAUGAAAAAUCAGAGUAAUGGCCAAGGAGACAGCAUCCACUUGACUUCUCUUGCCCAUGGCGGGAGUGAUUAAUCUAGCUAAGGCAUUGCAGCAAGGCGAGACCACAAGGUUACUCAGCCCAAAGCCCGUGUGCUCCAGGACCUCAGGACGAUGCUGGACCAGCAGCCGCAAGCGUAACAAACCGCUGAGGUCUGAUCCUGCCGGCAAGCGCCGUGAAGUGAGAGCGAUCUGUCUGCCGGCAGUCUCCACUCCGGGGUCGGAGCGGGGCAGUGGUCCAUAGGAGGCUGCUGGAAUUCUGUAUUGCAAAGGGCACGGCUGUCACCUUCAGGGAAAGGCUCUGAGCCUUGCACUGUGGCUCCGGCAGAUGUUGGAGGAGAAUCACCCCGCACCGAGCCAGCGUGCCCCUCGUUUGGCUGUGGCUGUUUGAUGCCAACGAUAACGAGCAGCUUGGGAGGACGUUUUUUGUUGGUAGCUGGUGAUGCCUGUUUACUAAAGGCUGCUGAAUAGGAAAGGGAACAAGGUCUUGGCCUCCCCGCCUGGGAGCAGGACCUUCUGUCCCUUGGACACGUGUGGCUGGCAGGGUGUCUGAGUAAUGACAUCCCGGGGAAGAUGCUGUCUGCAGUCCUGGGUUUGAGAAGCCACGAAGGGUGGGUGAUGCAGUGCAGAUGGCAUUGAGGGGAUGGGUGCCUGCCUCCCCCAUUAUUUAUUAUGCCAUAAAAUCCAAGGUAACGUACAUCAAUAAAUGCUGCAAAGGGUUUCAUGCGUGUCAGCCACGCGUAUGUGGCAGAGCAGACGCUCUUUCAAGACAAGGGGCUCCGUGAGCGGAGGCUGGUGUGAUUGAUAGGGCAGCCUUCAGCGCCUGCACCUUCGCUUGGCUGUAACACAGAUCUGCUUCCCCAGAGCACCCCAUCACCGUGGGCUGGGAAGGCAGGGUCCCUCUGGGCAGCGGGGUCCCACCUGCGUGGGUACCUGCUGUGAGGGGGUUUUUUUGCAGGCUCUGUGCUCAGAGCUGCUCGCCUGUGUGUGACGAUGGCCAAUGCCAUCCCCAAGGCAGGGUCGAAUGCCCGGGGAGGCAGGGAGCACUGGGGAGCUGCUUGGAGGAGCCAAGGUUCCCACUGGCUGAUUUUCCCAGGGAACAAGAUGUGUGCCAUCACGCUUUUUAUGUGCCUGUACAUCUGACAGCUCCUGAGCCCCUCAGAUGGUCUCAGCCGCGUGUGACAGCAGAGCUGUCACCAAUGCUGACGGGAGAUGUUCCUAACGCGGAGAUGUUCCUACACAGAGACGUUCCCGCGUGUCCCGUGAAACGCAGAGCCAGGUGGGAGAGGGUGACGGUGAGCAUCACCAUGGAGGGACAAGCCAGCACGCACACACCCCCAGGACACGCAGGAACGAGUCCUAGACGCGUGUGGCCCUCUCGUGGGUGAAAGCUUGGGCAGGCGGCGACAACUUAGACGUCAAACUUGGGUGAACCAGGAGACAUAAAUCCCGCUAUUUGGGAUUAGUGCAGGUAAUUUGUUUUAAAGACAGACAAAUCCCUUCCCUGUAGGUGUCUGCUUGUCACAGGAGACAUUCCUCACCUCCAGGAGAGUUACCCCAGUUGAACAGAUCCAGCCCUUUCUGGGGACACAGUCUCCGGAGUUGCUAAUCACUGGGUUUGGGGAUUUUUUUCCUAACACUUGUGGGUGAUGCCUCCCUUUUGUCUCUCUGCAACAUCACAGGGUUGGGAAGGACCAGCUGCUGAUUUGAUUAAUGGCCCUUUUCUGAAACAGCAACAGAGACAAAUGUCCUCCUGAACGUGGCAAAGAGAAAUGGAGAAACAGACUGGCUAAUUUUCAGCUAUUAUUUGGGAACCCAAACUCCUUCCCAGUAUCAAUUUAGCUAUUAUUUCAAAAACUAAUUAAUCUUCACUGAGGCAGCUCUAAGGGACCUGUGUUUAGAUAAUUAACAGCCCAUGGAUUAUGAAAAAGUCGUGCUUUUGGAUCCUACUACAGUGCUUGCCUUCGAGAACACGCCUGCUAUCAUCCUGCUUACCAACUCCUUUCAUCAAUCCAUCUUAUUUUGACAAUUAAGAGCAAAUAAUUAGCCAUGAUGGAUUUUGCUUGCUUUCUUGCAGCUCAGUUCCUUUUUCUUUUGGUCCUUAAAUGUUCUUCAGCUGGGCAAUUUUUUUGGUGGUUUUGCAGCUAAUUACAGCCAAGCAGGGCAAGUCACUGCUGUUACCAAGAGGAUCUGGAGAAAGGUUUUAUUUGGCUUGUGGAGAAGCUGGGCAGCAAGGUAUGCGAAAGGAGAUCCUAGAAGGAUAGGGGAUGGGAUUUUUUUUUUUCCUCUCUCCAGUCUUGCACGAUGCAACGUGAACUCACCCCCCCGUAUUGCCGUGCCGGCGCUGGGCUCACCUCCCUCCCUGGGGAAUCUCAUCCUGGCCUCUCGCUUUGCCACCGCAGCUUUGAUCCUCCUGUUGCUCUGGAUGGGCGAGAUGUCCCCGGGCUGUCAGGGCUGUGGGAGAGCUCUGCGCAGCAAAGCAAAGGCGAUGGGGUGGCAUAGACCCAGAGGCAGCAGUGGAGCAGGUCUGCAACCCGUGCAGACCCCGAGCAGCUCCCGUCCGUGCCCUGCGUGCUCACUGGCUGCGGGGAAGAGAAUACGGGCUGGCAGCGCUAGCGGAGCGAUGCCGUGCUUAAUGAAUUUGAACGGCAGCCACAGAUGACAGCACUCUGCCCAUUACAUCCACCGAGUGCUGCAAUUCUUCAUUAAGCAGCCCAGAGUUUGCUUGCUCUUCUGCUGAGGGCAAAGGAGCCAGAGCGGACUUUGAGCUGUGUUUCCUGGGAUCCCGAGCUACUGAUGGACCAUUCUUGGUGCCCUUGCAAAACCUGAUGCUGUGCCCAUGCCAGCACGGGGAGAUUUCCAACCAAACCUCCCCAUCUUGGGGUUAGUUCAUUGAAGGAAGCAAAGAGGAUUUUAAACCCUCCCAUCCCGUGGUGCCUACAAGCCAGGUGGGAGAUGGAUGUGGCUGUGGCCACCCACAUUUGGGACUCUCCAGAGCUAAUGGAUGUCUGGAAAGGUCCUGCAAGCCUGGCUAGGGAGGCAAUCACUAGCAUCUCACUGCUGUGACCAAAUCCUGGCUUAGAUGAUGUUUGUGUCUGAUAAAUCUCCGCAGGCAAAACUCCUUGGUCUAGCAGUUUGACUCCUAAUUAAAUAUUUACCACGAUGGCACCUCGCCCUGCCUCAAGAAAUAUCAUCCUUUCACCUCCGCGUGGCUUUCACCUCUUUUGCAAUGCCGCAGUUUAAGGAGAGCUGUUUAAAGACUCGGCUCCAAUAAAACGGAGGAAAGCAAUUCUCUCUCCACCUUUCCAAUCUCUCUCCGUUUUCCCCAUCUGUGAAUAAAGUUCACUAGAGGCCCUGGAGCUCCCGCUUCUCAAAAAGUGAAGGGCUCUCGCAGGAGGGCUGGAAGUCUCCCCAUCAGGCAGGAUGAUAUCUCCUUUCAACAGCAAUCAAAGAGAACAGCUACCCGGGGAGGGAGCUGGAGCAGCACAGCUCCCCAGGGAGAGCAGCACGGAUGAUGGAAAUGUCACCCCGUGGAUCCGCAGGCACUGGGGGAGAGCCGGAGAAGGGACCUGGGGGGAGCAGGUCGGGCUGGGGGGGCUGCUGUGUGGGGUCACCAGUCACCCAGGGGUGGCUGUUUGGGAUGGAUGCAUCAUUCAGAGAGGCUGAGCUGUUGGGGAAGGGGGUUUGUUUUAUCCUGAUUUUAACUAUUUGCUGCAGAAUUCUCUUUUGGGUGGACCGAGCAUCUUCCCCUCCGUUGGGGCAGGGGAAAAACGAUGUCUGGUUUGAACCCAUCUGAAUUGAAGCAGAACCACGACGAAGCUGCUGUGGGGGUCCCCCGUGUCAGCCAGAGCCCGUGUCUCAGUGGCACGGCCCUGAGGGACCCCAGGUUGCCCACCACCCUCCUCUGACCCCAGGCAGUAGCAGCCCCCAUGCCACCGCUGACCUUUGAGAUGAGGCUGUGCAGGGUGGAAUGUGCUGGACCGUCCCAUUGCCACGGGGACCUGCCUGCAUCUGCUAAUUGCUGCAGCCUCUUGGGUCCCCCCCCGCCUCCCGCCAUCCCCCCCCUCCCCAAUUUCCAUCCGUCUGCCGAGCCAGCACAAAGCUGGCCAGACCCUGCUCCUGCGUAAUCCUGCCCCAGAGCCCAUGGGCUGGGUGACACUACCUGCAAACCAAGGGCUUUCCCCCGUCCUCCUGCCUCUUGGGGCUCUUUCACAUAGAUAAAAAUCAAAAUUAGUGGUUUCAGAGCCCCUGCAACCCCCUGUCCCCCAUACGCGCCUGCACCCCCUGCAUUUAUUUUGCAGCAAGGCUGUACAAGGAGUCGAUGCAUCUCCAUUGCCCCGCUUCCCGUGCUGGCCUGGGUUUAUCUCCUUCCAAUUAAAUAAGUGCAGAUAGUGGGUUUAAUAAGGCCCUGCCUAUGAAAGAUUACUAAUGAUUUCAUUUCCAACAUGUCGUGAAUUAUGAGGCAGCCCGCAAAACAAAGCCGAGUGGGGACGGGCUUGGCAGCUAAUUACUGUCCCCCACGCUGCCACCGCUGCUAGCCGGGCCUCUAAUUGCUCCCUCUGCCUGAUUGCAUUUUGCUGGUGGUUGUGGUUCAUUCGCAGCUCUUGCUUGGCAUUCGGCUGUUGCUGCUUCUCUCUGUGCCUGUUGUGUCCCCCCCCCCCUUCAAGUUUAUUAAUGAGAACCUUAUCUGUCUGUGCAGAUAAUGCCAGAAAUAAUUAGUACUCAGUGAGGUCUGUCAGGCUCCUCUCCUCUCCUACCCCCCUGCCCUGAUCUCAUUGCUAUUUGCAGUUUCCUGGGUGCUUCGUUAAGUCUCGGGAGGGUUUUUGGGGGUUGGUUUAGACCUUUCUCACCCCGUGCAGCUUUCAGCCUUCCUGGCUGCCCCAGGCUUGGGGCUGUGCUGGGAAAUCUCUGGAGGGGAUGCUGGGGAGAAGGGGACCGGCUGCAUCCGUGAUCCCUGCUUAAAACCAUCCAAGCGUUCCUUGCCCAGGGCAAACGGGAUGCGCGUGGGGAGCUGCA